GACGAACUGCCCAAACGUUGUUCGGAAUCACUGGGCUUAAAGGGUGCGUAGGCGGGUCUUUAAGUCAGGGGUGAAAUCCUGGAGCUCAACUCCAGAACUGCCUUUGAUACUGAAGAUCUUGAGUUCGGGAGAGGUGAGUGGAACUGCGAGUGUAGAGGUGAAAUUCGUAGAUAUUCGCAAGAACACCAGUGGCGAAGGCGGCUCACUGGCCCGAUACUGACGCUGAGGCACGAAAGCGUGGGGAGCAAACAGG
RNAcentral lists this ribosomal RNA (253 nucleotides) under uncultured bacterium. RNAcentral's name for it is "partial 16S ribosomal RNA". It matches the Rfam family "Bacterial small subunit ribosomal RNA", at positions 524 to 776 of the family's 1533-position model. The record is from RNAcentral.